RNAcentral lists this ribosomal RNA (300 nucleotides) under Triticum aestivum (bread wheat). RNAcentral describes it as "partial small subunit ribosomal RNA". Lineage: Eukaryota; Viridiplantae; Streptophyta; Magnoliopsida; Poales; Poaceae. The record is from RNAcentral.
AUGAUGGUUUUCUUGGUUUGUAGUGUAACGGCCGGUGGUGCUGGCGCCUGGUGGAGGGCAUGGAUUUUAGUGGCUGGGGAUGACCUGGCGGUCAUGCGGGGCUGCUCUGUGUUCCACCUUAUAAGAGAUUUUAGUGAUAAUUUAUUAAGUGAUAAGACUUUGCUUUUCUGUAUCAGUCCAGUGACGAUCAGUGUAGUUGUGGUGCUAGGAUCGGCACGGCUGUACGCUGCAAACGGCGACGAAAAAUAUUGUGAUGGUAUUGCAAGCAACGAGAACAUAUACUAUAAUCGUCCUGACUAA